GUGUGAUAUGCUGUUUGAUACCAUUUAGUGGAUAGCUUGGCUUGGGUAGAAUUAGCGCCCUGGCAAGCUGGGAAAAGCUCAGGGGAGGAGCAUGCAUCCUUAGAUCCUGAGAUCGCGCUAAUCCCUGUGAUGGGUAUAUACGCCGAGAAUUAAAACAUUCUAGUAUCGGCAGGAAAAGAAAUCAAAUUGAGAUUUGGUGAGUAACGGUGAGUGAAAACCAAAGAGCACAGACCGAAUCCCAAGCUGGUAACAGCUGGGAGAUGUAGGGUCAAUAAACCAAACCUAGGAGCAUAAUUAGCUGGAAAGCUAAGCCAAAGAGGGUGAUAGCCCCGUGUGCGAACUAAGUUUGGUUUAAAGACCAAAUAAAGAGUACUGUCCAUUGAGUAUUGGGCAGGAAGAUGGGAGAAUCAACUUCCAAUGCUAAAUAUAACCCAAGACCGAUAGCGAACUAGUACCGCGAGGGAAAGCUGAAAAGCACUCCUAAACGGAGAGUGAAAAGAACUUAAAACUAAAUGGUAUCAGUUUGAUAUGGCAUUAAAGGAUAACUACUUUAAAAGUUGCUAAUCGUGAGGUUAGCAGCGAUAGAGUAGUCCGGUGUCAUAUCGUCCUUCUCGAAGCAAGGGCCAGGGAGUUUAAGGGCGUGGCAAGGCUAGCGCCGAAGCGAAAGCAAGCGGGUUUAACCCCUCGUCAGAAAUGGCGAGCAGUCACUCCCUUAAGACCCGAAGCCAAUGUGAACUACGCGUGGGCAGGUCGAAGUCCGCCUGAAGGUGGAUGGAGGACCGCAACCAGUGCUAGUAUAUUCUGCUUGGGUGACCCACGGGUAGGGGUGAUAGUCCAAUCGAACUUGGCAAUAGCGGGUUCCCCUCGAAGUAUAUCUCAGUAUAGCCUCUUUGGAGGUAGGUUAUAGGGUAGGGCACUGAUUAUCAAGAACGGGGUCGAAAGGCCUCACUUGAUCGUCAAACCUCGAAUCUAUAACCACCGAAGAAAAAGGGAGUCGGGUUCCGUUGGGUAAGCUAGCGGGCCGUUACGGGAACGACCGUACCUGGGGUUAAGGCCCCAAAAUCUAGGUUAAGUGUCAAUCGCAAAGAAGGUUAUAUCCUAAAACAGCUGGAAGGUAGGCUUAGAAGCAGCCAUCCUUUAAACAACGCGUAAUAGCGGACCAGUCUAGGGUAUAACUUUCCAAGAGGCUCGGGACUAAGCCUAGUGCCGAUACCCCAGAGUUUGCAUCUUUUGAUGCAAAGCUAGUAGGGGGGCGAGCUGGUUUGGCAGAAGUAGGGGCGUAAGUUCCUAUGGACAAACCAGUUAUGAAUAUCCUGGUAUUAGUAACAGCAUAUCCAGGUGAAAAUCCUGGACGCCGCAUAGCACACGGUUUUCUAGGAGAUGUUCGUCAGCCUAGAGUUAGGCGGUCCUAAGCAUAAAGGUAAUUCCUCUUAUGCAAAAGGGAAACCGGUUAAUAUUCCGGUCCUAGCCAAGUAGAAGCGGUAACGCAAGUUCUGCUUUUGACGGCUUGGGAUAGGAUAAGCAAGGGCAACCUUGUCUAACUAAAAUAGUACCAUGAAGACUGAUUGUCAGGAGCAGUGGUACAAUUUUAGGAAUGCGUAAGUUAUCUGAUUCCUGGGCCCCAUGAAAAGAAAGCAGAAAGCGAUCUUGGCUAACCGUACCUAGAACUAGUACAGGUGCUGCUGGCUGAACAAGCCAAGGCGUGUCAGGGAAACUUAGCAUAGGGAACUCGGCAAGUUGGCCGCGUAACUUAGGGAGAAGCGGUGCCUGCAGAUGUUAAAAGCAUCAGCAGGUCGCAGUGUCAAGGGGAGAGCGACUGUUUAUCAAAAACACAACUCGCAGCUAACCAGAAAUGGUAUGUAUUGCGGGUGACGCCUGCUCACUACCGGUACGUGAACUCCUGUUCCAACGGGAAUAAGCGCCGGCAAAGAGCGGGGGUAACUCUGACCCUCUUGAGGUAGCGUAAUACCUCGCCGCUUAAUUGGUGGCUUGCAUGAAGGGCGUAACGACUCUCCCACUGUCCCAUGCUAGGACCUGGUGAACCUACUACACUGUGAGUAUGCAGUGGAUUUCCAGGGGGAAACGAAGACCCCGUGGAGCUUUACUAUAGUCUGAUGUUGCGAUAUAGGACGAUUAACAUAGAGUAAAUGGGAGCUGCUUAAAGCCAAGGCUUUUGGGCUUUGGUGAGGCGAAAGUGUAACACCAUUUUAAUUGUCUUGUAUUGCUUAUACUCUUUUAGAGUAAACAGCAUCAGAUGGAUAGUUUGGCUGGGGCGGUACACCCUCGAUAAAAAAACAAGGGUGCCCAAUGCUUAGCUUAAGUGCGUCAGAAAUGCACUGUUAAGGGUCAAAGACAAAUGCUAGGCUGACUGUUCUCCUAAUAGCGUGGGGAGCAGAGGCGAAAGCCGGGCUUAGCGAACCUUGGUAGCCUUUUGAUGGGGCUCCAAGCUGUCAGACAAGCUACCCCGGGGGUAACAGGCUCGUCGCGGGCGAGAGUACACAUCGACCCCGCGGUUUGGUACAUCGCUGUCGGCUUAGGACAUCCUGGUGGUGUAGGAGCCACCAAGGGUUGGGUUGUUCAUCCAUUAAAGUCCUACAUGAGCUGGGUUCAGUACGUCGCGAGACAGUACGGUAGUAUCUCCUGGAAAUGCAUCCUGACUGAGAGUAAGUACCCAUGAGUACGAGAGGAACACGGGUGCGGCGCCUCUGGUGUACCGGUUGUGUUUUAGCAUCGCCGGGCAGCUACGCGCUACCUGAUAAGACCUGAAAGCAUCUAAGGUCGAAGCAGGUCUCAAAACGAGUCAGGUUAAUGGGCGGAUAGCAGAUCCGUUUGAUAGGGCAGAAGUGUAAGUCGCAAGCCAAAAGCGAGCGAUUCAGCUUGCUGCUACUAAACCAAAAUAUCACACUU
This 2907-nucleotide ribosomal RNA is filed under the name Candidatus Omnitrophota bacterium. RNAcentral describes it as "23S ribosomal RNA". It matches the Rfam family "Archaeal large subunit ribosomal RNA". Lineage: Bacteria; Pseudomonadati; Candidatus Omnitrophota. The record is from RNAcentral.